Molecule: ribosomal RNA, 409 nt
Filed under: Cristarma ortmanni
Lineage: Eukaryota; Metazoa; Arthropoda; Malacostraca; Decapoda; Sesarmidae
Description: Chiromantes ortmanni partial 12S ribosomal RNA
Source: RNAcentral
UUUAGGAGAAAAUAUAAAAACUAGAUUAGUAUUAGUUAAAUACUUAAAAAUUAAAAAAUUUGGCGGUGAUUUAAUCUACUCAGAGGAAUUUGUUUUUUAAUCGAUAAUCCACGAAGAAUCUUACUUAUUUUUGUUAAUUGUUAGUCAGUUUGUAUACCAUCAUUAUCAGAUAAUUCUAAAAAGAAAAAUUAUCAAACAUAUAUGAUUAUUAAAAUUAGAUCAUGGUGCAGCUUAUAAAUAAGGUAAAAUGAAUUACAAUAAAUUAUUUUAUAAUGAAUUAAUAAGAUAAUUCUUAUUAUGAAGGAGGAUUUGAUAGUAUUAUAAAUUUAAUAAGUUUAUAAGACAAUAGCUCUAAAUCAUGUACAUAUCGCCCGUCGCUUUCAUUUAUAAAUGAAAUAGUCGUAACAUA